RNAcentral lists this ribosomal RNA (433 nucleotides) under uncultured bacterium. RNAcentral's name for it is "bacterial SSU rRNA". It matches the Rfam family "Bacterial small subunit ribosomal RNA", at positions 29 to 507 of the family's 1533-position model. The record is from RNAcentral.
AACGAACGCUGGCGGCAUGCCUAACACAUGCAAGUCGAACGAGACCUUCGGGUCUAGUGGCGCACGGGUGCGUAACGCGUGGGAAUCUGCCCUGGGGUACGGAAUAACAGUGAGAAAUUACUGCUAAUACCGUAUGAUGACGUAAGUCCAAAGAUUUAUCGCCCUGGGAUGAGCCCGCGUAGGAUUAGCUUGUUGGUGAGGUAAAAGCUCACCAAGGCGACGAUCCUUAGCUGGUCUGAGAGGAUGAUCAGCCACACUGGGACUGAGACACGGCCCAGACUCCUACGGGAGGCAGCAGUGGGGAAUAUUGGACAAUGGGCGAAAGCCUGAUCCAGCAAUGCCGCGUGAGUGAUGAAGGCCUUAGGGUUGUAAAGCUCUUUUACCCGGGAAGAUAAUGACUGUACCGGGAGAAUAAGCCCCGGCUAACUCCGUG